UUCACAGUUCAUAAGUGUGAAAAGCUAUGUAAAAAUGUGAUUAAAAUAUUUUAAAUAUUUUUAUUGACGGUUUCAGUACGGAUAGAAUUCUAUUUUGUAAAAAAAUUUACAGUGCAACAAAUUUUUAACAAUUUUUUAAAUAUAAACAAUAUAAGUUAUAUAUAAUAUGUGUAACAAUAGUUGUAAAACUAUUGAAAAAUAUAAUCUGAAAAUUCAAAACGAAAAUUUCAAGCCGUUUAAAAGUAAUAAACAAUUAAGUGAGUGUCCCUCGAUGAUGGGUCAGAGCGCGCUAGGGCAAAAACACGCCAUAUUGCAUCCGCCAUUUAAAAAUUUUUAAAAAUUGAUCUCAGAUUCGUAAUCAGCGACCCCGAAAACAUAGAUAAGGAAUGUCAAGGAGUAAAAAUUCGUGUCAUAGAAAGGACUGAGCUGGGAAUAUUUAAAGAUAAGUGCACGCAAGUAAUAUCGACACAUAAUUUUUCUUUACUUAUCAAGCUAUGUUGUAAAUUAUUACUUAAUUGUGUCAAUCAAAAUGUCUACUACUACUAUUUUUAUUUAGAACGUUUGAGGAAGAAACUCAUGUACGAAAAUUAAUCAUUUCUAUAUUUAUUAUAGAGCGAAGAAAAUUAUGAAACUUUAGCCGAAAAAGACAUUAUAAUUGCAAAUCUAUUAGCUCAAAGAAGCAGUGAAACUGAUAGAAGAACCGAUUAUGAAGAGUCGAUUCAAUUCUUAGUAUCCGGCAUGAAAACACUUCUUCUAAAAGAAAGCAAUAAUGGGGAGGCAAAUAACACCCAAGGAACUUCCCGUAACACUGAGAAGAUGUGUCAAAAGAACUGCACAAAAACGAAGAUUUACCAAUAUCAAAAUGCAAAAUGGAUGAGUGGAAUUAUCCAACUGUAAAAAGUCUAAUCCGAAAAACUUUAAAUAGUCAACGUUAUGCAGGAAAGAUAAAGCAAAUUUCAGAGGAGUUUAACAUUGAGCAUGAAUAAUUAUAUCUUAAAUAUUAUUUUACUGUUUUUAAUGUAGAACAUUUAAAUUAUUACUUUUAUAGAAAAAAGGAAAAAGUUUCUAAACAUCAUAUUGUAUUUUUAAAUUCUUAUUUUUACUGAAUGUACACGAAAAACUUUAAAUUUUACUUACUUUGUAAUAAUGCAUUUCGAUAUAAGAUGCUUGUGUUUAUAUAAUGAUCU
Leptopilina boulardi is the source of this 1187-nucleotide long non-coding RNA. RefSeq lists it as uncharacterized. The record is from RefSeq and is a predicted model, not a curated record. NCBI's taxonomy places the organism in Eukaryota, Metazoa, Arthropoda, Insecta, Hymenoptera, Figitidae. The transcript is spliced from 4 exons.